RNAcentral lists this ribosomal RNA (305 nucleotides) under uncultured bacterium. RNAcentral describes it as "bacterial SSU rRNA". It matches the Rfam family "Bacterial small subunit ribosomal RNA", at positions 337 to 657 of the family's 1533-position model. The record is from RNAcentral.
CCCUACGGGAGGCAGCAGUCGGGAAUAUUGCACAAUGGAGGAAACUCUGAUGCGGUGACACCGCGUAUAGGAAGAAGGUUUUCGGAUUGUAAACUAUUUUAGACAGGGAAGAAAAAAGACAGUACCUGUAGAAUAAGCUCCGGCUAACUACGUGCCAGCAGCCGCGGUAAUACGUAGGGGGCAAGCGUUGUUCGGAAUGACUGGGCGUAAAGGGUGUGUAGGCGGUGUAGCAAGUUAGAAGUGAAAUACCUAGAGCUUAACUCAGGUGCUGCUUCUAAAACUGCUAUACUUGAGUGCAGUAGAGG